Molecule: transfer RNA, 57 nt
Filed under: Tubulipora flabellaris
Lineage: Eukaryota; Metazoa; Bryozoa; Stenolaemata; Tubuliporida; Tubuliporidae
Description: tRNA-Leu
Source: RNAcentral
UUAAAUUGAAAAUUACAAAGGAUUUAAAAUCCUUUUUCGGAAAAUUUUCUGUUUCAA